GGGGGAUGAAGGGCAAUUUAUUGUCAUGAAUUUUUAAAUUUAAACAUUCACUAUUUUUUUGAGUUCCCUGCACUGAACAAACAUUUAUGGCAAUUUCUGUCAAAUGAAAAACUCGAUGCUCUGUUCUUAUCCACUGAACUGGCAUUGUGUGACUUCUGGCUCUUCCUCAAAGUCAAAAUGAUCAUGAAAGGUCAAUAUUUUGAAUCAGUUCGGGACACUGAGGCAGCCAUGGCAGCACAGCUAAAGUCACUCCCAAAAGAGCACUUCUAGAGCUGCUACAGAAAGAGGCAAAAACAAUGGGAUAAGUGUAUUCGAAGUGACGGGAUUAAUAGCAAUGUGAGUUUUACUAUAUUCAAGUUUUUAAAAACUUUAAACAUUCAACAUACUAGUGGGACACAUCACACCUGGUUGAAUAAAAAGGUGUCUUUGUUCUCUGCCUGUCUCCCUGAGCCAGGACAGCGAUCUUGUCUCAUCCUCGGCACUCCUGGCCCUUAGGACUUCAGGCUGGGAGUGAAAUUGGCCCCACUGGCUCCCUGACUCCCGGGAUUCCCAGCUACAUCUCAGCUUUCCUGGGUCUCCAGCUUUUGGAUGGUGGAUUGUCGGACUUCUUGGCCUCUGUCAUUGUGUGGCCCAAGUUCUCAUCCCGUGGCUCUACUUCUCUGGAGAACCCAGACUAAUUCACCGCAUGAACUGCAAAGCCUAGAGUGUUUUCUCUCUGGCUCUUUACAGAAAGCUCGGACUUCCGCUCUCUGCCCACAGUGAAACCAGUUAUCUCCAGCUUGGAGAAUUACAUCUGGGGAGGGAGAUGGAUGCAAGGGUAGAAGUCUGUGUACAGCAAAAGAAAACAAACACCAAAAGCAAGAUGGAGGAAUCUGGUUUGCCCCAGAGUUUCUGUUCUGUUGUUUAUCAUUGAGCUAAGUUUUUCCACAAGCGCAUGAUGACGGUUAGAAAAAUAAAGUUUUUCAGGAGGUGCCUUUCCAUAAACAGUUGGCCUCCACAAGCGGAGUCCUCACGAGCACGAGAGGACACAGUGCCAACAUUUGUUGUCCUCUCUUCUGAGAUCUAAUUUCCCUAAGAACUGAAGAUCAUCUUCAUGUGCUCACUGGGGAUGAGAAGUGGGGCUGGAGUCCAAAGACCUGGACCCCAGCCCCGGAAUGGGACGGCCCUGAGGCCCCGGGUGACCCGUUUCUCCCCUGGGCCUUUGCUCUGGCUGUGCCAAGGACUCUGCUGAGAACAGGAACUCUGAGGUCCUCCCGGCUCUGGAAGCCAGACUUGGGUUCCCUGGGGAGGGACCAUCUGACUGCCCCAUGAGACCCGGCAGUGUGACAGGGUAGUGACAAGCUGCAAACUCGAGAUUCCCCUGUUGCAACAUUGCACGUAACUCUGAAGAGCGGCCACUCUGUCACCAGCGGAGUGGGUGGGUGUGGCCGGCAUUUGGGCUUCACAGGUGAGGAUGUUCCGGACACAGACCCCUGGACUGGGCCCAGCUCAGAGCCACCACCGGGAAAUUCUGCCAGGACAGCUUUGUGCACGGGAUCGAACUCGGGUUCUUGCGCUUGAGAGGCAGGUGGCAGAACCACUGAGGUAAAUCCCCGGCCUGAACCAGAAAAUUGAAGUGGCUUGUUCGUUGCUGCAAGGGUAACGAAUGGCAGGGGAAGUGCAUGGCACUGCUGUCUAAUGGGCUGAAGUUGGCUCAUCUGUCAGAAACUGAGGCCUGAUGCCGGUGGUGGAAGCAGGCUGGGCUGUGUGCGAGUCCUGCCGUGCAAGGGACAGGGAGCUGGGGCGCUGGGCCCCCCUUGCACUUUGUGGAAGUCCGAGUGCAGGAGUUCGGGUUUUCCCGCCUGGGUCUGAGGCUC
Heterocephalus glaber (naked mole-rat) is the source of this 1856-nucleotide non-coding RNA. NCBI's taxonomy places the organism in Eukaryota, Metazoa, Chordata, Mammalia, Rodentia, Bathyergidae. The record is from RefSeq and is a predicted model, not a curated record.